AUUUCUGUUAAUAAUUUAUAUAAAAUAUUUUGAAUAUUUAUAUAACAUUAACAUAAUUCAUAUUACUAUAUUUUUUAGUAUAUGAAAUUUUACUUUGAGAAAAUUAGAGUGCUUAAAGCAGGCAUAUGCCUUGAAUACUCCAGCAUGGAAUAAUAUUAAAGAUUUUUAUCUUUCUUAUUGGUUCUAAGAUAAGAAUAAUGAUUAAUAGGGACAGUUGGGGGCAUUUGUAUUUAACAGUCAGAGGUGAAAUUCUUAGAUUUGUUAAAGACAAACUAAUGCGAAAGCAUUUGCCAAGGAUGUUUUCAUUAAUCAAGAACGAAAGUUAGGGGAUCGAAGACGAUCAGAUACCGUCGUAGUCUUAACCAUAAACUAUGCCAACUAGAGAUUGGAGGUUGUUCCUUACUCCUUCAGCACCUUA
RNAcentral lists this ribosomal RNA (418 nucleotides) under Cryptosporidium parvum. Its description in RNAcentral is "SSU rRNA". It matches the Rfam family "Eukaryotic small subunit ribosomal RNA", at positions 663 to 1090 of the family's 1831-position model. The record is from RNAcentral. Lineage: Eukaryota; Apicomplexa; Conoidasida; Eucoccidiorida; Cryptosporidiidae.